Molecule: ribosomal RNA, 468 nt
Filed under: uncultured bacterium
Lineage: Bacteria
Description: partial 16S ribosomal RNA
Rfam family: Bacterial small subunit ribosomal RNA
Source: RNAcentral
GACGAACGCUGGCGGCGUGCUUAACACAUGCAAGUCGAACGGAAAGGCCCUGCUUUUGUGGGGUGCUCGAGUGGCGAACGGGUGAGUAACACGUGAGUAACCUGCCCUUGACUUUGGGAUAACUUCAGGAAACUGGGGCUAAUACCGGAUAGGAGCUCCUGUUGCAUGGUGGGGGGUGGAAAGUUUCUGCGGUUGGGGAUGGACUAGCGGCUUAACAGCUUGUUGGUGGGGUAGUGGCUUACCAAGGCAUGGACGGGUAGCCGGCCUGAGAGGGGGACCGGCCACAUUGGGACUGAGGGACGGCCCAGACUCCUACGGGAGGCAGCAGUGGGGAAUAUUGCACAAUGGGCGGAAGCCUGAUGCAGCAACGCCGCGUGCGGGAUGACGGCCUUCGGGUUGUAAACCGCUUUCGCCUGUGACGAAGCGUGAGUGACGGUAAUGGGUAAAGAAGCACCGGCUAACUACGUG